Molecule: long non-coding RNA, 3243 nt
Organism: Sarcophilus harrisii (Tasmanian devil)
Lineage: Eukaryota; Metazoa; Chordata; Mammalia; Dasyuromorphia; Dasyuridae
Source: Ensembl
AUAUCUAGGACCAUCUGAGUGUCUUAGAGUCACAUAAUUUCUGAGGAACCUGCAGUCCUUUGAUGUCUUCAUUUUUUUAAAUCUCAAACCAUAUUUACCAACAUGAUUUUUGCCCUCUUCCUCUCUCUACUUAUUUUCCUAUUAAAGCCACCAGAAUGGGAAUAUAUAUUGACUUAAUUUUGUUAUUAGUUUCAUCAAAGAAUUUUUCUUAUCCAUCUUCAACAAUAUAAGAUUACAUUCAUCACAAGGGCUGCAUGGCAUGAUAACCAAGUAUCUUUUGACACACUGUUUAUUGUUGCCUUUAGAAAAAUUAAACCAAUUUUGCCAAUUCCUUUAAUUCAUCUUACUGAGGAAAAUAUGCAAGUUGUCCUUCCAUUUAUUUAGCUAUAGCUUGUCUUCAGAUUUCAUUUAUAACAAAAAUGUCAGUAUGUACAUGGUUAACUUCCUCUAGUAGUAUUCCAUCUUUUUGGUAAUUUAACAGGGAUAAAUGCCAACUGUUAAAUUAAUGUUUAUAGACAGUCUGGAGAUACAUGAUUCUUAACAUCCCUUGCCACCUUUCCCACUAUCCUCCCCCGUUUAGGAGAAAGAACAAUCAAGUUUGAAUUUUCAAAAGGGAUGAUUCUUCUUAAUUGCAUAAAAUAUUUCUCUGCUAGAUAUAGACAUAUAUAUGCUAUUCAUUUCUGGAGAAUAAUCCUUAGUUGCUGCAUUCAAAAAGAAUUCUUUGAAGAAUAGUUAUAUUUGCCUAGAUUUCAUUCCCAGGUGGUACUCUUGUUCACUCUAGUCCAACAGAAUAAAUCUUCCAUAACUGUAUGCUUGCUUCUCAUGCAUUGACAACUUUGGAAAUAUAUUAAUGUGCUGUAGUUUUUCUUUAGGCUCCUGAAUUUGUUUCAGCUUGGUCAUGCUGUUAGGUGAAUCAUUUAAACUACAUGUGCUGUGGGUUCUGCACAAUUGGGGGUAGGUUGUUACGCAGUUGAGCCAUCUAAUCAAAACACAGUAGGACUCGUUAGUUUUCAUAUUAUUCUUAGUUUUAUUUUGCAGAAUAGGUAACUCCAGCAUAUAUUCCAUAGUGUAUUCUGAAAACAGGCCACAUACCUACCAACCUGGCAGACAUAAAUUCUUAAUUAUUCCACAAGUAAAACUAGUUAGCCAGAUCUCAAACUUGACUUUUCUGUGCCUCUUUUACAAUUAAACUCACUGUGAGAUAGGGGACAUUGGAUCACAGCUUCUUCAGAACUUGAUUUAACUUAACUUUCUACUUGGUACCAGUUUCAGCAGGUGAUCUGGGAUUUGAAAUAGGCUAAGAAUGAUGGGAAUUAAUUUGUUGGGAUCAGGUCUCAAAACCAUGUCCCUAAAGCAAGGUAAACGUUUUUUUUGGUUGGUUUUUUUUUUCCUGUACAGAGAACAUCAGGGUUUUAAGAGCAUGGGGUUUUUUGACAUAAAUGGGGGCACUGGAAUAAACUACUAAAGAGGUUUUUAUUUAUCUGGCAUGUUCACCAAAGACUUUUCUUAUGAUUAAGAUGUUGAGAGGUUUGAGUUAUUUCUAUUCUCAUUAAUGUUUUGAGAGAAAAGCCAAGAUCUAAGUCCAUAGCAGAAGCCUAUACAGGACUUGGUCUCUAGACAUGUGUUUGUAGGGAAUGUUUGUUGUUUAGUUUUAGUUUUUAAAAGUAAUUCAGUACUUUUCUGUAUAAUCAGUAGGAGACUCAUUGGCCUUAUGAAGCUAAUGAGAAGGGGAUACCAUCAGUUUUGGUGGGAAUCAAGUGCCCCUUCUGUGAAGCUGAACUGGUUGGUCCUGGGUCAUUACAGUAUGUGAAGUGUUGCCUCAAAACCACUGUAGAAAGUAAGCCUACCAUAAAGCCAAAAAAAAAAAAAAUCAAUCCUUUUCAUGCAAAUAUUACUUAUUCUUGACUUUUUCACUAUUACAAACACUUUACUAAUGAACUUUUGUUGAUUUCACCCUUUGCAUGAGACUGUGAGUACUUUGGAAACUUGAAUUUCUCCAGGUAAGUCACAUGUGGACUUGCAUUUCCACCUGAAGAGUUCUAAACUGUAUGCUCAAAGACAAGCCUGAUUGUAUCCUAUUUCAAGCUCACCUUUUUGGGUGCUCCCUUCAAAACUUUGCCCAAACCAUACAAAUAGCCUUGUUUUUGAAGGCAGCCUUAGGGUAAAAGAGUAGAGGGUGGGUGUUGGAUGCACUGAAGAUUACAAGGUUCUUUAUUGCAAUGUUUGAAGAAUCUUCUAUUUUUACAACCAGCAAAACCAGGAAUUGAAGUGAGAGAAUAGAAAAAUAGGCCUUUAAUUCUCAUCUCAGAGUCCUUUCCUGGUUUAAGAUGCAUGGUUCAGUCUGUCCCAGUGUGGUGACCUAUCUCAAGGACUGCUAUUCAAAAGGAAGUAAGUCAGAACCUUGUCAGAUGGGUCCCUGACACCAGCAGUGAGACACUGACCCUGUAGCCUUUAUCUAUGGUAAAGGGUCUCACUCCAACCAACUUUGAAGGCAGUAGGUAAAAAUGGCAUAACACAAUGCCCCCAUCUGAAAGUUUUUUUUUUUUGCACCAGGGUCAUAGUGUUUCCAUAUGGCUACAAUAUAUUAGCUUUAGCCUACUUGUCCUACAACUUUGGUAGAAUGAAAGUGGACAACACUAGGCCACUUGAAUUGAAAAGAUGGUGGUUUGAAUUCUGGAACAAACUAACAGAAGAAGCAGCUGACUUUGGUAGGUUAUGAUACUCAGGCAAAAACAAUAAGCUGGUUGUAUCAUCACUUACGUAGUUCUACUUUGCAAGAAACCUUUAAAGAAGGUCUCUUGAGGUUUUGAGUUUCUCCCUCUUCUUUUCCCCUUUCCUCCUUUUUAGUCUAAUAACUAACGUAGACAAUCAGAGGUCUGCUGAGGAGGGACUCCUGGCUGGUACCAGCACCAUAUUUAGGCCUCUUUCAUAUACUAACUCAUUGGAACUGAUGCACUUUGUUUCCUGUAUUUUGCCUUUUAUUAGCUGCUUGUUUGGAACAAAAUGAAAUGCAUACUGUGUUGUGACCUUCCUGCUUGCUGUUUUUUCCUUAAUUUCAAAAGUUAUGCAUCAAGGGUAAAAUACUACUUAAGGAGAAAUAUGCACAAACAAAUAUGCCUAUUGAAAAUAAUGUCCAUCAUGUUUGGUAGGUGUAGUGACUUCAAAGGAUUUUAAAAACUAUUUUAGAUGGGUAUUUUGCUUGUUUCCUUGUAAAUAAGAAUGUAAAUAAGUUUGUGGUCUGAC